GCUGCAAAAAGACUUCGCCCGGACUCCUACGGGAGCCGGACCUCAUCCCCGACUCUGGUUGUAGAAAAGACUUCGCCCGGACUCCUACGGGAGCCGGACCUCAUCCCCGACUUCGGCUGCAGGCAGACCUCAUCCGGACUCCUACGGGAGCCUGACUCUGCCCACGACUUCAAUUACAGGUAGACCUCAUCCGGACUCCUAUGGGAGCCGGACUUCGCCCCC
Molecule: long non-coding RNA, 222 nt
Filed under: Elaeis guineensis (African oil palm)
Lineage: Eukaryota; Viridiplantae; Streptophyta; Magnoliopsida; Arecales; Arecaceae
Description: long non-coding RNA (EGUI_LNC074119)
Source: RNAcentral